Salmo salar (Atlantic salmon) is the source of this 58-nucleotide non-coding RNA. The record is from Rfam. Lineage: Eukaryota; Metazoa; Chordata; Actinopteri; Salmoniformes; Salmonidae.
UAGCUCAGUUGGGAGAGCAUGGUGUUUGCAACGCCAGGGUUGUGGGUUUGAUUCCCAC